This 253-nucleotide ribosomal RNA is filed under the name uncultured bacterium. RNAcentral's name for it is "partial 16S ribosomal RNA". It matches the Rfam family "Bacterial small subunit ribosomal RNA", at positions 524 to 776 of the family's 1533-position model. The record is from RNAcentral.
UACGGGGGGGGCUAGCGUUGUUCGGAAUCAUUGGGCGUAAAGCGCGUGUAGGCGGUCCGGUAAGUCCGCUGUGAAAGUCGGGGGCUCAACCCUCGAAUGCCGGUGGAUACUGUCGGGCUAGAGUGCGGAAGAGGCGAGUGGAAUUCCUGGUGUAGCGGUGAAAUGCGCAGAUAUCAGGAGGAACACCAAUGGCGAAGGCAGAUCUCUGGGCCGUAACUGACGCUGAGGAGCGAAAGCAUGGGGAGCGAACAGG